GGGCCUGUAGCUCAGUGGUUAGAGCAGUGCGCUCAUAACGCAUUGGUCCCUGGUUCAAGUCCAGGCAGGCCCACCA
RNAcentral lists this transfer RNA (76 nucleotides) under Candidatus Peregrinibacteria bacterium. RNAcentral describes it as "tRNA-Ile". It matches the Rfam family "tRNA". From Rfam's summary of the family: Transfer RNA (tRNA) molecules are approximately 80 nucleotides in length. Their secondary structure includes four short double-helical elements and three loops (D, anti-codon, and T loops). The record is from RNAcentral. Lineage: Bacteria; Candidatus Peregrinibacteriota.